This is a non-coding RNA of Pelobates cultripes (western spadefoot toad), 1960 nucleotides long. NCBI's taxonomy places the organism in Eukaryota, Metazoa, Chordata, Amphibia, Anura, Pelobatidae. The record is from the annotation of a GenBank genome assembly.
AUAUGGGAGACGUCCCUAGAUCCCUCUUUGGUAGAGGUUGCCUUUGGUAGGUUGUAAAACAGAUUUCCAGUCUUUGGUGGACUGUGGUAUUUAUUUAACGUAGAUGUAAAUGUUGCAGACUAAAAUGGUUUUAAAAAAAAAAAAAGGGGGUUAAAAGGUAUGAUGGAUGUUUGGCAUUACUCCGGCUUGCUAAUUUAUGUGCUAUUUUAUGAUGUGCAACGCUGAUUUUAAGUAUAAAGUCUUAAUUGAGGGAAUGUCAAAAGUACAUGUAAAGGUAAUGAUGAAUAAGACAAAAAUUAGAGGUUAUUUAAGGGGGGCUACAAAUUCUAGAACUAACAUGAUUUCUCUGCAUGUAUGUUUGUUUGUUUGCAUAAUGAGCCCUUUAUUUUUAUACUUGGACAAAAGUACUAUAAGCCCACUACACUUUUUCAUGAGAGUGGGAUGUAUGAUUGUUUAUAUGAUGAGCCCUUUAUUUUCAUAUUGGGACAAAAAGUCACUUCAUUCAAAACGUCAAACACCACAUUCUUUCUGCCCUGUGUGUUUGUUGCAGAGAAUUUAUGUUGUAAAUUUAGAAGAAAGCAAAAUUUAUAUUUUCAGCGUUCCAACACAUGCUUCAUUUUGUGCUGUAAGCUAACUUGUAGUAUUCCAGUACGUCACAUGUUGUAUGUGCUUUAAAUUGUAUGUAUUCUGUAAAUUGUUGUAUGGGGAUGCUGAGAUUUUAUUGCUUGCGACCCAAACUGUGAAGAAGUGGGUUUGAAAUUUUGGUCAUGAAAUGUAGGAUCAGAAAACCAUGGACAAAGGUUUUAACCUGUGUUGAUAUGACUUUUGGAAACUCAAAUUGACCGGUCAAAAUUUUGCCAUGACUUUAACAUGGAGUAGUAUAAAUAUUUUGAGUCUUUGAGAGUUCUGACAAAUGCAGGUGAUACCAUGUCUGUGUAAUCUGGUCCAAAUGUUCUAUAAGCGUAUAAGAGAGAAAUUCCAUUGACAGGUUUCAUAUGUCGCAACUGGUUAAUGCAAGUGUUAUACAAAUGUUUAAGUCAAACGCGUUAUAUGGUCGUAUGGGAUCCCUUCUUUAAAAAUAAAAAAUAAACCCUUUGGUACCAGAAAUCUUAAAUAAAUCUGAUACAAACUAAAAUUGGUAUACCUUACAAUAAUAUGUUCUGAAUACAGCUGUUAGAAGUUUAUUCUGUGUGAAUGAUGAUUGUCAUAAAUGUUUGUUUUGGUUACUCAUUUUGAAGUGCGCAGUUUAAUUGUCAUGUAUGUUAAUGGCUAUUUUGCUGUGUUAUUUUAAAUUAUAUUUGAAUAAGUUUGUCUUAGUAUUGAUACAGCUGGAAAUGGCAGCGUAAUAAUCUAUUAAAUAACUGAUUUAUUAUUGAAUACUAGUCCAAGAGCAAUAUGAGUUGUAGUCUUAAGAAAGAAAAAAAAAGAGGGAGUCUGUUUUUGUAAAUUUUAGCUGAUUUCCAAAAUUCUGUUGCAAUAAUGGACUUCCUGCCAAAAUUUGACUUUCCUGUCCAGUUGCCAGGUGCUCUGAUCUAACCUUAAAGUAGUACUGCUUGCAUUGUUUGCAGACAUGCAUAAUGCACAAACAUGAGAACCUAUAUUAUCUCUGUCACAGAGGGUGACAUUUAUUAAUUUAUUUUGGAUUGAGUUAAUUGCCUGUCCAUGAAUAUGCUUUUUGUAUUGGCAUGUCUGCUGGAUAUCUGCUACAUGUUUUCUGUGCUAUAAGAUGAUGUGUGAUAUUACAAUGAGUAUGAAGAAUAUUUAAAGAAUAUUUGCAUGUCAUUAACGCAAGCCUUUAGUGUCUUUUUACAACAGAUUAAAAAACGCUGAUCAGCCAACAAGAAAGGGGCCCCUGGGAAAGAAAAGGAAAAAAUAUAUCAUUUGCUUUUCAAAAUCGUGGAUCCACGUUUCAGUAUUAUUAGGGGAGUAUUUAGAGUUAACGCUACUUUUAAAGUGCAUU